This 495-nucleotide ribosomal RNA is filed under the name uncultured bacterium. RNAcentral's name for it is "partial 16S ribosomal RNA". It matches the Rfam family "Bacterial small subunit ribosomal RNA", at positions 28 to 507 of the family's 1533-position model. The record is from RNAcentral.
GACGAACGCUGGCGGCGUGCCUAAUACAUGCAAGUAGAACGCUGAAGGAGGAGCUUGCUUCUCUGGAUGAGUUGCGAACGGGUGAGUAACGCGUAGGUAACCUGCCUGGUAGCGGGGGAUAACUAUUGGAAACGAUAGCUAAUACCGCAUAAGAGUAGAUGUUGCAUGACAUUUGCUUAAAAGGUGCAAUUGCAUCACUACCAGAUGGACCUGCGUUGUAUUAGCUAGUUGGUGGGGUAACGGCUCACCAAGGCGACGACACAUAGCCGACCUGAGAGGGUGAUCGGCCACACUGGGACUGAGACACGGCCCAGACUCCUACGGGAGGCAGCAGUAGGGAAUCUUCGGCAAUGGACGGAAGUCUGACCGAGCAACGCCGCGUGAGUGAAGAAGGUUUUCGGAUCGUAAAGCUCUGUUGUAAGAGAAGAACGAGUGUGAGAGUGGAAAGUUCACACUGUGACGGUAUCUUACCAGAAAGGGACGGCUAACUACGUG